Molecule: ribosomal RNA, 240 nt
Filed under: uncultured bacterium
Lineage: Bacteria
Description: partial 16S ribosomal RNA
Rfam family: Bacterial small subunit ribosomal RNA
Source: RNAcentral
GAUCCUGGCUCAGGAUGAACGCUGGCGGCGUGCUUAACACAUGCAAGUCGAGCGAAGCACUUAAGUUCGAUUCUUCGGAUGAAGACUUUUGUGACUGAGCGGCGACGGGUGAAGGUAACGCGUGGGUAACCUGCCUCAUACAGGGGGAUAACAGUUAGAAAUGGCUGCUAAUACCGCAUAAGACCACGGUACUGCAUGGUACAGUGGUAAAAACUCCGGUGGUAUGAGAUGGACCCGCGU